This 459-nucleotide ribosomal RNA is filed under the name uncultured bacterium. RNAcentral describes it as "partial 16S ribosomal RNA". It matches the Rfam family "Bacterial small subunit ribosomal RNA", at positions 338 to 795 of the family's 1533-position model. The record is from RNAcentral.
CCUACGGGUGGCAGCAGUGAGGAAUAUUGGUCAAUGGGCGCAAGUCUGAACCAGCCAAGCCGCGUGCAGGAAGACGGCCCUAUGAGUUGUAAACUUCUUUUGUCCGGGGGUAAAACACGCCACGUGUGUCGUUCCGAGAGUAUCCUACGAAUAAGCAUCGGCUAACUCCGUGCCAGCAGCCGCGGUAAUACGGAGGAUUCGAGCGUUAUCCGGAUUUAUUGGGUUUAAAGGGUGCGCAGGCGGAAGAUCAAGUCAGCGGUAAAAUCCGGGGGCUCAACCUCGACGAGCCGUUGAAACUGGUGGGCUGGAGUGAACGAGAAGUAGGCGGAAUGCGUGGUGUAGCGGUGAAAUGCAUAGAGAUCACGCAGAACUCCGAUUGCGAAGGCAGCAUACCGGAGCGCAACUGACGUUGAUGCACGAAAGUGUGGGUAUCGAACAGGAUUAGAUACCCUAGUAGUC